CACUCCUACGGGAGGCAGCAGUGGGGAAUAUUGGACAAUGGGCGCAAGCCUGAUCCAGCCAUGCCGCGUGAGUGAUGAAGGACCUAGGGUUGUAAAGCUCUUUCACCGGAGAAGAUAAUGACGGUAUCCGGAGAAGAAGCCCCGGCUAACUUCGUGCCAGCAGCCGCGGUAAUACGAAGGGGGCUAGCGUUGUUCGGAAUUACUGGGCGUAAAGCGCACGUAGGCGGAUCGAUCAGUCAGGGGUGAAAUCCCAGGGCUCAACCCUGGAACUGCCUUUGAUACUGUCGAUCUGGAGUAUGGAAGAGGUGAGUGGAAUUCCGAGUGUAGAGGUGAAAUUCGUAGAUAUUCGGAGGAACACCAGUGGCGAAGGCGGCUCACUGGUCCAUUACUGACGCUGAGGUGCGAAAGCGUGGGGAGCAAACAGGAUUAGAUACCCGGGUAGUCCCAUGAU
Molecule: ribosomal RNA, 451 nt
Filed under: uncultured organism
Description: partial 16S ribosomal RNA
Rfam family: Bacterial small subunit ribosomal RNA
Source: RNAcentral